CUACGUGCCAGCAGCCGCGGUAAUACGGAGGGUGCGAGCGUUAAUCGGAAUAACUGGGCGUAAAGGGCACGCAGGCGGUGACUUAAGUGAGGUGUGAAAGCCCCGGGCUUAACCUGGGAAUUGCAUUUCAUACUGGGUCGCUAGAGUACUUUAGGGAGGGGUAGAAUUCCACGUGUAGCGGUGAAAUGCGUAGAGAUGUGGAGGAAUACCGAAGGCGAAGGCAGCCCCUUGGGAAUGUACUGACGCUCAUGUGCGAAAGCGUGGGGAGCAAACAGGAUUAGAUACCCCGGUAGUCCUGGCCGUAAACGAUGGGUACUAGGUGUAGGAGGUAUCGACCCCUUCUGUGCCGGAGUUAACGCAAUAAGUACCCCGCCUGGGGAGUACGACCGCAAGGUUGAAACUCAAAGGAAUUGACGGGGGCCCGCACAAGCGGUGGAGUAUGUGGUUUAAUUCGACGCAACGCGAAGAACCUUACCAGGUCUUGACAU
Molecule: ribosomal RNA, 488 nt
Filed under: uncultured bacterium
Lineage: Bacteria
Description: bacterial SSU rRNA
Rfam family: Bacterial small subunit ribosomal RNA
Source: RNAcentral